This 375-nucleotide ribosomal RNA is filed under the name uncultured eukaryote. Its description in RNAcentral is "SSU rRNA". It matches the Rfam family "Eukaryotic small subunit ribosomal RNA", at positions 587 to 966 of the family's 1831-position model. The record is from RNAcentral.
AGCUCCAAUAGCGUAUAUUAAAAUUGUUGCGGUUAAAACGCUCGUAGUUGGAUGUAUGCGAAUGAAUUUCGGUCCUUCCCAGAGAAGAAUACACGGGAUUUCAUUUGUAUUUGUUCAGGGAUGGUGGAUGCACUUCACUGUGUGACCACAUAAUCUGGAUUUUUACUUUGAGGAAAUAAGAGUGUUCCAAGCAGGCAGUUGCCGUGAAUAUGAUAGCAUGGAAUAAUAGUACAGGACUCUUUGUUCAAUGCUGUUGGUUUGUUGAGCUAGAGUAAUCAAAAUAAGGAUAGUUGGGGGUAUUCGUAUUUAACUGUCAGAGGUGAAAUUCUUGGAUUUUUUAAAGACGAACAAUUGCGAAGGCAUCUACCCAGGAUG